UACGGAGGGUGCAAGCGUUAUCCGGAUUCACUGGGUUUAAAGGGCGCGCAGGCGGUCGGCCAAGUCGAGUGUGAAAGCCCCCGGCUCAACUGGGAGGGUCAUUCGAUACUGGUCGACUCGAAGGCAGGAGAGGGAAGCGGAAUUCCCGGUGUAGUGGUGAAAUGCGUAGAUAUCGGGAGGAACACCAGUGGCGAAGGCGGCUUCCUGGCCUGUUCUUGACGCUGAGG
Molecule: ribosomal RNA, 227 nt
Filed under: uncultured bacterium
Lineage: Bacteria
Description: partial 16S ribosomal RNA
Rfam family: Bacterial small subunit ribosomal RNA
Source: RNAcentral